GGCAGCGAUUGUGGCUUCACCGUGGUAACGAGGAGAAAAGCAGCACGUGACAGCAAAGAGCGGAGAGAGACAGCUUAAUUGCCACCAGAUGUCCCUUCCUCUCUGUCAGUCUUACGCUUCCCAUUUCUCUCAAUGAACUGCCUCAGGAAUGGAGUGGAGUUUCCAAAGCCCAAGAUGACAAGCACUGACAGCUGAUCACUGAGAGAAGAUCCCCAGUGACCAAAGUGUGGCUCUGGAGUCCUUAAAUGUGUGGAGUGACAUGCUGGUCUUCUCAGAAAACAAUAUAAAGCCUUAGAAGGGGAGGUCUUUGACAGCUGGUUGCACCUCCUUUGGGAAGCCUGAAAGAUGUAACCACGAAGCUCACCACAUCACAACCACUGUUGAGAUGGACCAGGCCACUGUGUCAAGCACCAUCUGGAGAGCUGUU
Long non-coding RNA from Mauremys mutica (yellowpond turtle), 427 nucleotides. RefSeq lists it as uncharacterized. NCBI's taxonomy places the organism in Eukaryota, Metazoa, Chordata, Testudines, Geoemydidae. The transcript is spliced from 3 exons. The record is from RefSeq and is a predicted model, not a curated record.